UGAGUAAUACAUCGGAACGUGCCCAAUCGUGGGGGAUAACGCAGCGAAAGCUGUGCUAAUACCGCAUACGAUCUACGGAUGAAAGCAGGGGAUCGCAAGACCUUGCGCGAAUGGAGCGGCCGAUGGCAGAUUAGGUAGUUGGUGAGGUAAAGGCUCACCAAGCCUUCGAUCUGUAGCUGGUCUGAGAGGACGACCAGCCACACUGGGACUGAGACACGGCCCAGACUCCUACGGGAGGCAGCAGUGGGGAAUUUUGGACAAUGGGCGAAAGCCUGAUCCAGCCAUGCCGCGUGCAGGAUGAAGGCCUUCGGGUUGUAAACUGCUUUUGUACGGAACGAAACGGCCUUUUCUAAUAAAGAGGGCUAAUGACGGUACCGUAAGAAUAAGCACCGGCUAACUACGUGCCAGCAGCCGCGGUAAUACGUAGGGUGCAAGCGUUAAUCGGAAUUACUGGGCGUAAAGCGUGCGCAGGCGGUUAUGUAAGACAGUUGUGAAAUCCCCGGGCUCAACCUGGGAACUGCAUCUGUGACUGCAUAGCUAGAGUACGGUAGAGGGGGAUGGAAUUCCGCGUGUAGCAGUGAAAUGCGUAGAUAUGCGGA
This 599-nucleotide ribosomal RNA is filed under the name Variovorax sp. EECC-366. RNAcentral's name for it is "bacterial SSU rRNA". It matches the Rfam family "Bacterial small subunit ribosomal RNA", at positions 107 to 702 of the family's 1533-position model. Lineage: Bacteria; Pseudomonadati; Pseudomonadota; Betaproteobacteria; Burkholderiales; Comamonadaceae. The record is from RNAcentral.